UGCCAGCAGCCGCGGUAAUACGGAGGGUGCAAACGUUGCUCGGAAUCAUUGGGCGUAAAGCGCACGUAGGCGGUCCGUUAAGUCGGAAGUGAAAGCCCUCGGCUCAACCGAGGAAGUGCUUUCGAAACUGGCGGACUUGAAUACUGGAGAGGAUCGCGGAAUUCCCGGUGUAGAGGUGAAAUUCGUAGAUAUCGGGAGGAACACCAGUGGCGAAGGCGGCGAUCUGGACAGAUAUUGACGCUGAGGUGCGAAAGCGUGGGGAGCAAACAGGAUUAGAUA
Molecule: ribosomal RNA, 279 nt
Filed under: uncultured bacterium
Lineage: Bacteria
Description: partial 16S ribosomal RNA
Rfam family: Bacterial small subunit ribosomal RNA
Source: RNAcentral